AAAUGGCUUCCAAUGCUUCCCCUUCUGAUUCACAAGUACUUGCCAGUUCACAUGUACUUGCUAAUUCCUAGACACUUACUAGAUAAAAGGUACUUGCUAAUUCACAAGUGCCCCUGGUACUACCACUAGUAUCACCCAUUAGCAGUGGCAUAUCUGGACUAAGUACUACUCCUGCUAUGGUACCUGUACCCCAAUAUUGGUACAGCACUUCCCCUACAGCAAGUACCUUAACAACUGGUUCUUUUGGUUCUUGGAUGUUUACUUUGCCUGCCCAACUCAUUUGCCCAAGUUGCAGAAGGUAAUAAUUGAAUUGCACUUACUAUAU
Molecule: unclassified non-coding RNA, 325 nt
Filed under: Hevea brasiliensis (rubber tree)
Lineage: Eukaryota; Viridiplantae; Streptophyta; Magnoliopsida; Malpighiales; Euphorbiaceae
Source: RNAcentral